RNAcentral lists this ribosomal RNA (406 nucleotides) under uncultured bacterium. RNAcentral describes it as "partial 16S ribosomal RNA". It matches the Rfam family "Bacterial small subunit ribosomal RNA", at positions 30 to 526 of the family's 1533-position model. The record is from RNAcentral.
AUUGAACGCUGGCGGCAGGCUUAACACAUGCAAGUCGAGCGAGCGGCGGACGGGUGAGUAAUGUCUGGGAAACUGCCUGAUGGAGGGGGAUAACUACUGAAAACGGUAGAUAAUACCGCAUACCAUCAGAUGUGCCCAGAUGGGAUUAGCUAGUAGGUGGGGUACUGGCUCACCUAGGCGACGCUCCCUAGCUGGUCUGAGAGGAUGACCAGCCACACUGGAACUGAGAAACGGUCCAGACUCCAACGGAAGGCAGCAGUGGGGAAUAUUGCACAAUGGGCGCAAGCCUGAGGCAGCCAUGCGGCGUGUGUGAAGAAGGCCUUCGGGUUGUAAAGCACUUUCAGCGAGGAGGCGUUACUCGCAGAAGAAGCACCGGCUAACUCCGUGCCAGCAGCCGCGGUAAUUC